ACAAUGGAGAGUUUGAUCCUGGCUCAGGAUGAACGCUGGCGGCGUGCCUAAUACAUGCAAGUCGAACGCACUGAUUUUAUCAGUGAGUGGCGAACGGGUGAGUAAUACAUAAGUAACCUGCCCUCAUGAGGGGGAUAACUAUUAGAAAUGAUAGCUAAGACCGCAUAGGUGAAGGGGUCGCAUGACCGCUUCAUUAAAUAUCCGUAUGGAUAGCAGGAGGAUGGACUUAUGGCGCAUUAGCUGGUUGGUGAGGUAACGGCUCACCAAGGCGACGAUGCGUAGCCGACCUGAGAGGGUGGACGGCCACACUGGGACUGAGACACGGCCCAGACUCCUACGGGAGGCAGCAGUAGGGAAUUUUCGGCAAUGGGGGAAACCCUGACCGAGCAACGCCGCGUGAGGGAAGAAGUAUUUCGGUAUGUAAACCUCUGUUAUAAAGGAAGAACGGUAUGAAUAGGAAAUGAUUCAUAAGUGACGGUACUUUAUGAGAAAGCCACGGCUAACUACGUGCCAGCAGCCGCGGUAAUACGUAGGUGGCGAGCGUUAUCCGGAAUCAUUGGGCGUAAAGAGGGAGCAGGCGGCAAUAGAGGUCUGCGGUGAAAGCCUGAAGCUAAACUUCAGUAAGCCGUGGAAACCAAAUAGCUAGAGUGCAGUAGAGGAUCGUGGAAUUCCAUGUGUAGCGGUGAAAUGCGUAGAUAUAUGGAGGAACACCAGUGGCGAAGGCGACGAUCUGGGCUGCAACUGACGCUCAGUCCCGAAAGCGUGGGGAGCAAAUAGGAUUAGAUACCCUAGUAGUCCACGCCGUAAACGAUGAGUACUAAGUGUUGGGGGUCG
The sequence is a non-coding RNA, 834 nucleotides long. It matches the Rfam family "Bacterial small subunit ribosomal RNA", at positions 1 to 832 of the family's 1533-position model.